AAUUCUUAGUAGUGCUAUUGCUGGGUCUGUGACUCUAAUUUUGUUCUUUGCUGUUGGAUAAACGUUGGCAGCCACAGGGUGCAACGAAUUUCCAGAGAGGCCAGGCCUGGGUCUGUGUUACGAGCUAGUUUUUCCUUUUUGAGUCAACCAUGCUGAAAACAAUUCCCAUUUAGAAAGUAAGUGAGGGCAACCAGGUUCCAGGUACACUUAACCAUAAAUUGCUUGAGAGUUGCAGUGUCUACUGGAUGACUCCCUUUAAGAACUUCCACCCAAAUCCCAUUACGGAACACCACCAUCCUCACAAGCUUAAGUGUCACUCUUUUGGAGUUAUUUUCUUCUUCCAAAUCAAUUUGCGAGUACAGCCCAAACAAAAAUGCCUCUUUUAAUUUCAGCAGUUGCUCAAGGAUUUCUUACCUUGAAGUCAAGGUUGCCAAUAGCAACAAACUUCCCCGAUAAAUAUGGCAAGAUGCAGUGCACAUCUUUAUGCUAAUGCCUUAUACUUCGGUACAGUCUUUUCAUCCUUGGGUUUUACAUGAUUUGACAGUACUAGUGAAUCUUCAAAAUACCUUUAAAAGGCAUGUGAGAUCUUAUCAGCCCCCCGUUUUGCCAAAACUCAGAUUCCGACCCCCUGAGGUAGUUGAACAUGGAGCUGAACUUGGAAUCUGGAAUCCUGAGCUCACUGGGACUCAGCCACAAAAAAAUGAUGCAACAAGACUUUUUAAAAAAUACUAUAUUAAGUAUAGGAACGGUGCUAAGUGCUUUCUUUGAUUUUGCUCAUUUCAUUGUUUAGUCCUCAAAUAAGGAAUUGAGAUUCACAGAGGUUGUCACUUGUCUAAAGCCCAAAUCCAAACCAGGCCGUGUCUCUCUCCAAAUCCCGGGCUCAGAACCAUCAUGCUGUCAUUGCAGGAGCCUCUGAGACUCAAGAAACUGGGUCUGGAGAAGCGUGGGACAACUGAGUGCUCUCUCUGAUGUCUCACUUCAGCCAGUAAGAGACACUCCACGGAGUACAGGCUUUUAUCCAGGGCAAGGUCACCAAGGGGUUGAAGCCCCAAUUUCAUUGAGAACGCAUCAAGGACAGAGCAAGUGCCCAGGAAAACCAAAGCAGGCGUUUCCUGGCCCCACAGCCCCAGAAACAAUGUCCUAAAGGAAGUGGUGGAAAGGGCCCAGCCCGCUGGCAACUUACAGAGUUUUCUGGUACUUCCCAGCCUUACAGGGACAGUGUCUGUGGAUGGCUUUGGCCAACUGGACGAACAGGAACACCAGGAGGCCCAGAAGCAACAUGGAGCCCAAAGUGAUGACGAAAGGCACAUACCAUGCUGAUGAAGAAUAAACGUUUUUUCUCAGGACCUGGCGGAUGACCUGCGGCUUGAAUGACAGAGUGAGGGACGCUGCUGAGGCCUCCAACACCAGGACCCUUGGAAACAGCAUACCUGAGCCAAUGGAGUAACGAAAAGACCUGGGACUGGAAUCAAGGUCAGUACACGUCAGCUUGAAAUUCUGAAUGUUUGUGCCAACUCUCAAACCCACUGGGAUGGCCAGGAAAUAAGAGUUUGGGGUACAAAUUGGCUUUUCAUCAUUUUCUUCAAGGACGUUCACAGUUACCUAGAGCAGCAAGAAGGUGGCGUGGUUAACAGCUAAAAUUCACUGAGAACUUUCUGUGUGCCAGGCACUGGGCUAUGCGCUUUUGGUGAGCCAGCUCAUUGAACCUCGCCUGAGAUAGAAAAUAUGGUUAUUCCCAUUCUACAGAUGAGGAAACUGAGGCUUAGAAAGAUUAGGGAGGGGAACUUCAGGCCGUUCAGUUUGGUGAGUGUCGCAGUUCAGGCAAUUUGAACUCAGGUCUGUCCCCCGCCCCCGACAAAUACAUCCAGACUCAUGGGCUCAUCCCCAAUUAAUGCUGAGUGGUUUUCCCAGUAAUGAUUGUAAAUUUAUGGUGAUGCUCUAUACUUCCUUGCCCAUCACCCUUGUGAAUGGGAGGUUCUGUCUUUAACUUUGGAUCAUAGAGCAAUGGUUCUCAGCCCUGGCUCCACUUUCAUGGGACCUCUCCAGACCAAACGAACUGGACUCUCUGGAGGGUGGGGCCCAGGCACUUUUUUAAAUGUUCCCCAGCUGAUUCUAAUAUGCAGCCGGGAUUGAGGACCACUGGGAUAGAAGGAGUCAACCGGGCUAAGCCAGGAUCUCAUCUGUAACCUGGACUAUUAGCACCGCUCGAAGCUGGUGGCCCUAACCUGUCACAAGCAGGAGCCAGCCUAUUCUCCUUCAUUGUCGCCUUUUAUGCUUGGUGAAUUGGAAUACGGCCUGGGAUGCCUGCCAGCACAGAAUCACAGGACGUCAGCCCUGAAAGGGACGUAUGUGAUCAUCACCCUUUUUAAAGGCUUAUGAAUUUUGAAUCGUAUUCAUUCUACCUUUGAAAUUUGGGGAUUUCAGCUAUUUCUGAGCCCGGGAAUAAAUUGAAAUGUUCACUCUAGUUAGCUCCCAAAGUGGAGUCCAUUCAUUUUUUCUCAAAAACCCAGCCUAACAAACACUACAAUUAUCUUCAACUUGGCCCGUCUUUUGCUCAGCUAGCAAUGCCGAGCCUCACACAUCAUUAAAAACGUGUCCCGUUAAUUCAAAGCCACUCAUCGGAGGGACUGGACUAUUCAGGCGAUGGGUUAUCAGGUGGCUCUCCAUUUAAGAGAGAGAGAAAUUGGACACAAAGAUAAGCGUUGCUCAGACCCCCUUGGAAACUUGGGAUCAAAGUUGAGAAAUGAACUCCGUCUCCUGACUGAAGCAGUUGUUCCCUGUGUCACACGGGGCUGCCUGCCGCUAGCUAUGAGUCUAUGUUGCCUUAUGCUUCCUCACUUUACUGAUGGGAAAGACCAAGAAAUAGUUGCGUCUUCGUGGCCAUCAUAUUACCUUUGGAUAAUCCGAACCACAGACAGCACAGACCUCUUCAACCCUAGCUACUCAAAGGGCAGCCACGGACCAACUACAUCAGCAUCACGUGAAGCGUGUUAGAAAUGCAGAUUCUGAGGCCUACUCAGACCUGCGGACUCAGAAUCUGCAUUUAACCAGAUGCUCAACACCAAAAGUUGAGAACCAGCAUGGCCCUGGGCAAGGUGCAUCAUUUUAAGGUCUACCCUAUCUGAUACAAUGCAGGUGGGGUAGGAACAUGACAAAACUACCGAGGAGGGGGGAAACACAGGGCUACAGUACCACAUCCCACUAUGCAUCCCACCGCUAGCCUAUGCCCACUGCAAAAGCGAAGAGAGAUCCGCAGAUGGAAGCUUGCCCCACACAGCGCUAAUCAAUCUUGGUGACCUCCCAAGAGGUCUACGGAUGCCACAACCUUGGGUCGACGGAUGCCAAUCUUUAUUUCCCGGGCUCUGCUAGGUGUGUCCAUGUGUGCCAUCCUGGAAACCACUAGACAUUGCCUGUUACACCUGCAGGAUGGGCUCCAUUAAGGUUCCUCAUUGCUACAGCCACGGAAGGUGCCAGAGAGAGCCCACGUUAGCCAGUCGGGCUGCUAUGAACACACCAACAGCCCCACUCACCGUGACUGAGCUUGUGUCCUCACUGCUGGUGGCCUGGAUUCUGAGAAUAUAGACAGGGGUUGUUUCGUAGUCAGCUUUAGUCACCAGCUGGAGUUCUCCUGUCUGGGGAUUGAUCCAAAAUAUGUUUGGGGACUGGAAGCUGGCCCCUCCGGCAGAGAUGGAGUACACGACGCGGCUGCGGGGGAGGUCUUUAUCAGUGGCGUGCACUUGUCCAACCCGGGUUCGAGCUAGAAGAAUAAAGCACCUGAGAUUAGUACUGCUUUGGGGGGUGAGGGGAGGCACCAUGAGCACACAUUCUCACUGCCAUGGGCAGAAAGACUUUUAGAGGUCUCUUUGCUGUUCAAACUCUGUAUGUUUUAUGUCUUCUAUUCUAUUAAAAUUAAAUCACGCUAAUGAACACCCACUGGGUAACUGGCCCUAAGAUCCAAGCAGUAGAGUAAGGUGUAAAAGACAAUCCAUGCCUUUAUAUAGACUCCAAGCCUGCCAGUUAUGAUGUGAUCAUAAGCAACACAGCAAAGACCAUUUUCAUAGGUCCUCACUUUGCCGCCCUGUUGUCUAAAUGUCUUCUGCAACUUUCAAAUUUUCUGUGUUGAGCAUGAAUUGCUCUUAUAAUAAACAAGAUAAAAAAUAAACAAUUUUUAUUUUUUAACGUUUAUUUAUUUCUGAG
This is a long non-coding RNA of Lynx canadensis (Canada lynx), 4197 nucleotides long. RefSeq lists it as uncharacterized. NCBI's taxonomy places the organism in Eukaryota, Metazoa, Chordata, Mammalia, Carnivora, Felidae. The record is from RefSeq and is a predicted model, not a curated record. The transcript is spliced from 4 exons.